GCUCAACUAGGAUGUAUGGAGCUCUUGUAAUGAAACACUUUGGGGCUGGAGAGAUGGCUCAGCCAUUAAAGGCUAGGCUCACACCGAAAAUCUA
Molecule: microRNA precursor, 94 nt
Filed under: Mus spretus (western wild mouse)
Lineage: Eukaryota; Metazoa; Chordata; Mammalia; Rodentia; Muridae
Description: predicted gene, 55907 (ENSMSPG00010008261.1)
Source: RNAcentral